This 372-nucleotide transfer-messenger RNA is filed under the name Actinomycetes bacterium. It matches the Rfam family "transfer-messenger RNA". From Rfam's summary of the family: Bacterial tmRNA, also known as 10Sa RNA or SsrA, is named for its dual tRNA and mRNA-like properties. Its role is to liberate the mRNA from a stalled ribosome. Lineage: Bacteria; Bacillati; Actinomycetota; Actinomycetes. The record is from RNAcentral. RNAcentral also lists the same sequence under 1 other name.
GGGGGUGACAGGUUUCGACAACGGCUGUCGAAAGGGUAGAAGCGGGUCGAGGAUUCACGGUGAUCUCGUAAACCAUGCGUGGAAAACUAUAGAUGCCGAACAAAAAAAUCGCGCAUCCUUUGCUCUCGCUGCGUAAGUAGCGACAGGUAAGGCGUCCGGCGGGAAUUGUUUCCGCACCGUUCGGGCGACGUUAGGAAACUCACCUUGGUUGCGGGUUACGCGCAACUAAGGAAAAUCAAACAGUAACUAUGGCCGUGUUCUGUGUUGGGUCGAACAAUACACAGAGGCUGAGUGCACACGAACUCGACUGCACCCGGAGAAGUGCCCAAUCUGCACCAUUGGACGCGGGUUCGAUUCCCGCCACCUCCACCA